GCGAAAGUGGUGGAAUCGGUAGACACGCUAUCUUGAGGGGGUAGUGAUCGUAAGGUCGUGGGAGUUCAAGUCUCCCCUUUCGCA
Molecule: transfer RNA, 84 nt
Filed under: Calditrichota bacterium
Lineage: Bacteria; Pseudomonadati; Calditrichota
Description: Calditrichaeota bacterium tRNA-Leu
Rfam family: tRNA
About the family: Transfer RNA (tRNA) molecules are approximately 80 nucleotides in length. Their secondary structure includes four short double-helical elements and three loops (D, anti-codon, and T loops).
Source: RNAcentral